GAAAGAGAGAGAACACAAAACAGAGGCUGAGGGCAAAGCCUCUCCCUCUCUCCUCCCUCCUGCUCUAGGGAAAAUGAAAAGGCCACUUAGGAGCUAUGGUGCAAGCAAGACACAAGCAGCAGGAAAAGCAAGGUCCCGGUGUCCUCCUAGUGUCACCCAAGCAGAGAACAGCAUCCUAGCCCAUCCAAACUUCUGUCAGAGCAGGAGUGUCCACCAGUUCUUGCACAUUGCUGACUCAGAAUGAAUAUUAAACACCAGACUUCACAGAGGCCAGCCCUGCAGGGCAGGCAAUGAACCAACCCUACUCAUGCCUGUUCAUUAUUAUAAUUAAUAUUGAGCCAGAGUUGGUGGCAACCUCGCCCUCGCCAGGUAUUUGGGCUAUUUUAGAAGCUUAUUCAGAUCAAUGACAGACAGCUCCGAAUAGAUAAACUCCCCGCCAUCCAGACGAAUCAAUUGCAACACUGCCGUCACAACAAGCCCAAGAAAUCAAUCUGAUUUCAGGCGACAUGGUAACUCAGCACUGGGCAAGCGGGUUUUAAUUUCCGCGUGGCUGAGACCCGGCUUCCUCCGCCUGCUGCAGCUCCCCUCUUCCCCAAGCACACAGGUGCUCAGGGUCCUCAGAAGGUUCAGGCCAAAGGAAGCAGCUGUACAGGGUACAGGGUGUCCAGGAGGCUGUGCGAUUUGAGGAAGGCUCCUGAACCCCCAAACCCAGGAGAAGCUGACUCAGAUCUGCCGACAAGAUCCUUGUCUUGCUGGUUUCAGCUCUGAUUUUCCGCUGCCCUCUGCAAAAACCAAGCCUGGAGGCCCUUCUGGGCUGCUUCCCAAACCAGGGAGCUGCUGAGAGGAAUGGUGCUAAGCAAUGCACAUGCAUCAUCUUCUAAACCCACA
This is a long non-coding RNA of Ochotona princeps (American pika), 888 nucleotides long. RefSeq lists it as uncharacterized. The transcript is spliced from 3 exons. Lineage: Eukaryota; Metazoa; Chordata; Mammalia; Lagomorpha; Ochotonidae. The record is from RefSeq and is a predicted model, not a curated record.